GCCAAUAACAGAUUUAAUUUCGGCUUUAGGUUGAGUUUCUGAUACAUUUUCUCUGCAUUCUGUCAUAAACAGAAUUAGAACUCGAUAGAGAGAUCGAUAGAGAGGACUCACAUCAGUGUCUCCUGGACUGCAGUCUCAGAUGCUUUACCCUACAGGAGAGAGAGAAGACUGAUGAUUGAAUACCUAAGGGAACUAGGCAACGGACACUAAAGAGAGUCAGUACACUCAGUGGUCAGUUUAUUAGUUACUACACCCUGUUUAUAGUAAUCUUUGGGAGUACCUACUAAUCUGACUACAUUUUAGUCUACAUUAUAGUAGUAGUAGUAGAGGAGACCCCGGGGAAGACCUAGGACACGCUGGAGGGACUAUGUCUCCCGGCUGGCCUGGGAACGCCUCGGUGUCCCCCCGGAAGAGCUGGAGGAAGUGUCUGGGGAGAGGGAAGUCUGGGAAUCUCUGCUUAGACUGCUGCCCCAGCGACCCGGCCCCGGAUAAGCGGAAGAUGAUGGAUAUAGUAGUAGUAGUUCUGUUUUAGCAAUAAGGCACAAGGAGAAAAGGUGCUUAUGCAUGACACAACGCAGAGAGCCUGGCUACAGCCCCGACGUAAGAGAGCCUGGCUACAGCCCCGACGUAAGAGUGCCUGGCUACAGCCCCGAUGUAAGAGUGCCUGGCUACAGCCCCGAUGUAAGAGUGCCUGGAUACAGCCCCAACGCAGAAGUGCCUGGCUACAGCCCCGUCUCAGCUUUCUACCUAUCACAAUUGAGGUUUGGAACCACCUGGUUGAAAAUGUAACAUACAUGCUUUCUACAUUAUGGUACGUACCCAGGACUUGAAUGGCUUGGCUGAGUAGCCAUUAACCAAUAGAGAGAGACAGAUCCAAACUGAAAUUCUGAAAGGAAGAGAAAACAUGUCAUCAUUAUAAAUUAUAAUUGGUUCUCAAUCGGCUUAUUUGAUUAAAUAAGGGUGAAAUAAAUAAAUACAAAUGAAUCAUGAAAAUAUAAACACUGCUUAGGUACUACUUGGUCAGGUCAGAAUGAAUCACAGCUGAUUAACUGAGAAUAACUCAAAAUAUCUCAAUCACUGGUAUGUAACUCACUGUUUUACUAGAUUUAUACUCUCACUAAUUCAUUAUAAAUGGUAAUGGUUUUCCCCUGACAAGAAUAGAAGUAGGUUCUUACCUGAACAUGAUUUCUCUGCGAAGUGCCCUUGUGUUUCCCAGCUGAGAUAACACAGAUUACAUGCACACACCUGUCCUGACACACAACUGAACAAAGGUUCUACAAUAAACUGAUUGCAACCUUAGAACUCUCCCAGUGAUUCAGGAAGCUUGUCCGUCAUCUCUGUGAUGUUUGUCUGGGAUAGCUGUGUAGUUGGUUGAGGUGUUUUUUGUGUAUCAAGCACUUGUUGUUAUGGGGUAAAUGUGGAGUCAUCAGUGACAUGUUAGUCUGACAUUUUAAGUGUGACGCAUUGUUGCUGAGGUUGAAUGUGGUUGUAUGUGGCUCAGUCGGUAAAGUUAUGGUCCUUGCAACAUUUGGCAUGUGGAUUUGAUGUGGGACCAGGAAGAAAUGUAUGAACGUGUAUGUUCAUGCUACUGUAAGUCACUCUGGAUAAUAGCAUCCGCUAAAUGACAGAAAUGUAAUAUACACAAGGAUAAAUAACCAUGUUUUAUGGCUAUCCUUUCUGUCUGACACAUAGGGCAAGCCAGUCCAGAUACUGUGACAGUGUAUAAAGACAUAAUAGGGUCAAUUAUUAACUUAUCUAAUGUUACAACUACCUAACCUUCUAAGGCUAAUUGUUUCUGCUUUUAACAAUGUGUAUAUCUGCUUCCAACAGCUGCCACAUCCUUCAUUCUGUUGGGGAAAUUCUGUAAAAACAGUAUCAUAGCAAUAAAUACUAUAAAUCCCAAUUAAAGCAGUAGUUUUACAACACAAUGUUAGGCCAAAGAAAAUUGGUUUGGUUUUCUUUAAACAGCAUUUUGGUCUAGGCAGAUAGUAAAAGUGUAAAUAGACCAAAUCAGGUGGACAUUAGCACAAGACCAGAAUGAAGGAUUCAAGCAGAUUUUAACAAGACUAGUGUCUCAACCCUGUUGGUCUGCAUUUCUGCAUUACUUUUUGCUCAGUCCCAAUCCUGUCUGAGAACUAUACUGCCCCCUACAUGACAUUCUGGGAAGUGACAGUCAGUGACAGUAGGCUUGAAUCAGACAGCCAAUGUCAUUUUUAUCUGGUUUAUGUUUAAAUGUUAGUUUUUUCUGGUAUAAUGCAGUUGUUUUCCAUAUGUUAGAUUAGAUUAUGCCAUCUAGAGGCUUCUGAGAGUAGAGGUUAACAUCCCUCCAACAUCUUCACUCUCUCCAUACAUCCAUUCUUAGACUCUCCAUCAUUUUAGUACAACGCAUGACCUCUCUAAUAGGUCACACUCAGGUUUAUGGGUUUACAGACAUUUGGUCAGUAGCAACACAGCUAACACCUUGACUUCAGCCACUUAUGCAAUUACUGUUCAUGUUCUCUAAACAUUGGUUCCACCAGGGACAUUGACUAAGAAUGGAUUCUCUUUCAUGGUAACAAACUGGGUAAGAGAUGCCGUGGUGUAAAGAAGGGACCAUUGAACCUCCAUUCCUACUUGUUCACCACAGAGAGGUAUCCCUGUCACUGUUCUGGGGCACCAGGGGUCUCUUACCCGCCUGGGG
Long non-coding RNA from Esox lucius (northern pike), 2680 nucleotides. The record is from Ensembl. Lineage: Eukaryota; Metazoa; Chordata; Actinopteri; Esociformes; Esocidae.